This 327-nucleotide ribosomal RNA is filed under the name uncultured eukaryote. RNAcentral describes it as "partial 18S ribosomal RNA". It matches the Rfam family "Eukaryotic small subunit ribosomal RNA", at positions 1470 to 1796 of the family's 1831-position model. The record is from RNAcentral.
CCCUUAGAUGUUCUGGGCCGCACGCGCGCUACACUGACGGAGGCAGCGAGCAUGUCCUUCGCCGAGAGGUGUGGGGAAUCUUGUGAGUCUCCGUCGUGCUGGGGAUAGAUGGUUGCAAUUGUCGAUCUUGAACGAGGAAUUCCUAGUAGGCGCGAGUCAUCAGCUUGCAUUGAUUACGUCCCUGCCCUUUGUACACACCGCCCGUCGCUCCUACCGAUUGAAUGAUCCGAUGAAUAUCAUGGAUUGAGGAUGCAAGCAGGUUCGCCUGUCUUCAUCUUCGAGAAGUGAAGUAAAUCUUAUCAUUUAGAGGAAGGAGAAGUCGUAACA